AGCCUUUAGCAAAAGUAUUAAAGGUGCCGCCUGCCCAGUGAAACAUUUUAACGGCCGCGGAAUUCUAACCGUGCAAAGGUAGCGUAAUCACUUGUCCCCUAAAUAGGGACUGGUAUGAAUGGCUAAAUGAGGACUUAACUGUCUCUCUUAACUAAUCAGUGAAAUUGAUCUACCCGUACAAAAGCUGGUAUAUUCACAUAAGACGAGAAGACCCUGUGGAGCUUAAAGUACUUCUGUCAACACAUAAACAUGACAUAAUACUUUCAGUUGGGGCAACUACGGAAACAAACAAAACUUCCAAGAAAGGACUAAAUCCCACCACAGACAGACAUGUCAAUAUAAAAUGACCCAGAAUUUCUGAAUAACGAACCAAGUUACCCCAGGGAUAACAGCGCCAUCUUCUUCUAGAGUCCCCAUCGACAAGAAGGUUUACGACCUCGAUGUUGGAUCAGGACACCCAAAUGGUGCAACCGCUAUUAAUGGUUCGUUUGUUCAACGAUUAAAGUCCUACGUGAUC
Molecule: ribosomal RNA, 517 nt
Filed under: Abronia monticola
Lineage: Eukaryota; Metazoa; Chordata; Lepidosauria; Squamata; Anguidae
Description: partial 16S ribosomal RNA
Rfam family: Archaeal large subunit ribosomal RNA
Source: RNAcentral